Molecule: ribosomal RNA, 253 nt
Filed under: uncultured bacterium
Lineage: Bacteria
Description: partial 16S ribosomal RNA
Rfam family: Bacterial small subunit ribosomal RNA
Source: RNAcentral
UACGGGGGGGGCAAGCGUUGUUCGGAAUUACUGGGCGUAAAGGGUUCGUAGGUGGCCAACUCAGUCAGACGUGAAAUCCCUCAGCUCAACUGGGGAACUGCGUCUGAUACUGGAUGGCUCGAGUGCAGGAGAGGAACGCGGAAUUCCAGGUGUAGCGGUGAAAUGCGUAGAUAUCUGGAGGAACACCGGUGGCGAAGGCGGCGUUCUGGACUGCAACUGACACUGAGGAACGAAAGCCAGGGGAGCAAACGGG